RNAcentral lists this non-coding RNA (168 nucleotides) under Heterocephalus glaber (naked mole-rat). Its description in RNAcentral is "Archaeal large subunit ribosomal RNA". It matches the Rfam family "Archaeal large subunit ribosomal RNA", at positions 1883 to 2090 of the family's 2987-position model. The record is from Rfam by way of RNAcentral. Lineage: Eukaryota; Metazoa; Chordata; Mammalia; Rodentia; Bathyergidae.
AAAUCUCGCCUGUUUACCAAAAACAUCACCUCUAGCAUGACGAGUAUUAGAGGCACUGCCUGCCCAGUGACGCCAAAGUUCAACGGCCGCGGUAUUCUGACCGUGCGAAGGUAGCAUAAUCACUUGUUCUUUAAAUAAGGACUUGUAUGAAUGGCCAAACGAAGAUUU